Molecule: ribosomal RNA, 403 nt
Filed under: uncultured bacterium
Lineage: Bacteria
Description: partial 16S ribosomal RNA
Rfam family: Bacterial small subunit ribosomal RNA
Source: RNAcentral
AUUGAACGCUGGCGGCAGGCCUAACACAUGCAAGUCGAGCGAGCGGCGGACGGGUGAGUAAUGUAUGGGGACUGCCCGAUAGCGGGGGAUAACUACUGGAAACGGUAGCUAAUACCGCAUACUAUCGGAUAACCCAGAUGGGAUUAGCUAUGAGGUGAGGUAAUGGCUCACCUAGGCGAAGAUCCCUAGCUGGUCUGAGAGGAUGAUCAGCCAUACUGGGACGGAGACACGGCCCAGACUCCGACGGAGGCAGCAGUGGGGAAUGUUGCACAAUGGGGGCAAGCCUGAUGCAGACAUGCCGCGUGUAUGAAGAAGGCCCUAGGGUUGUAAAGUACGUUCAGUCGGGAGGCGUUACCGACAGAAGAAGCACCGGCUAACUCCGUGCCAGCAGCCGCGGUAAUUC